UACGUAGGGGGCAAGCGUUAUCCGGAUUUACUGGGUGUAAAGGGAGCGUAGACGGCUGCUGCAAGUCUGAAGUGAAAACCCAGGGCUCAACCUUGGGACUGCUUUGGAAACUGUAGAGCUUGAGUACCGGAGGGGUAAGCGGAAUUCCUAGUGUAGCGGUGAAAUGCGUAGAUAUUAGGAGGAACACCAGUGGCGAAGGCGGCUUACUGGACGGUAACUGACGUUGAGGCUCGAAAGCGUGGGGAGCAAAC
RNAcentral lists this ribosomal RNA (251 nucleotides) under uncultured bacterium. Its description in RNAcentral is "partial 16S ribosomal RNA". It matches the Rfam family "Bacterial small subunit ribosomal RNA", at positions 524 to 773 of the family's 1533-position model. The record is from RNAcentral.